Non-coding RNA from Cyanistes caeruleus (blue tit), 1601 nucleotides. Lineage: Eukaryota; Metazoa; Chordata; Aves; Passeriformes; Paridae. The record is from RefSeq and is a predicted model, not a curated record.
GCUGAAGCAGGAAUUCGGUGGGAUGUGCCUUGUUUUAUAGGGAGACACCUACAAAACAAAAUCCCUUGGGAGAGGGACAAGGACAGGGCGGGGCUCAGGGGGAACCAGGAAUGUUCUGUGCUAACCCUUGUGUUGGGAACACCAACGCAGGGGAGCUGCCUGGCCAGAAUCCCUGUCCGGGCCUCCUGAGCUGGAAGGGCAGUGUCCUGAGGUCGUGUCCCCAGCUUUGCCCCUCCAUGUCCGGGCACAGGUGGAGUCCCUGACGUUCGGGGCGGUGCAGCCGCCCCGGCACGGGCUGAUGGAGCGCAGCGGCCGCGGGCAGCGUCCUCUGCAGGCCACCACCUUCACCAGGGAUGACAUCACAUCUACCAGAAGCGCGGCAGCUGCAGGCACGGCGGCGGCAGCGCGCUCAGGGACCGCUUCACCCUCACCGUCUCCGACGGCACCAGCCCCCUCUUCGUGGUGCAGGAGGGAGGGAAGAAGGUGGUGACGGCAGCACCGCAGCGCUUCCAGGUGGACAUCCUCCCUGUGGAUGACGGGACACCCAGGGUGGUCACCAACCUGGGCCUGCAGUGACUGGAGUACACGGAUGGCAAGGUAACAGCUGCCUGGCCUCAGCUUGGGCUGCUUCUCAGGCUGCUCCAGGAGAAGGGGCUUCGCAGGAGAGCAUCCUCAUCCUUCAGCACUUUGAUUUUUGGGAUGGAGAAUACCCUCCCCAGGGUACAUUUUUAGCUUUGCUGACGGUGGAGAUGUCUUGAUGAUGUGCGGCAGAGAUAGAUGGCUUUCCAAGGAUACGGUGCAGGAGUUUCUUGCUGUGAAACAAAUGCCUUUGUUGUGCUGAAAUCCAAACAAAACCCCAUAAAACUCUCAGCUUGUUUCUGAGGAGCCAGCACUAACUGUAAAGCAACACUUUGGUUCUUCCCAGAAAAAAAUGAGUGGAAAACGCUGUAGUAAGAAAUUGCAUUAAGAAAUGGCUAUCUCAGCUCAAACUCCUCACUUCAGGAAAAGCACUCCUGCUCCUCGAGCAGCUCAAUUUUCUCUCUUUCUCCUGCUGUCAAAAACAUUCUGCUUUUGAAGAGAAAGCAAAAUGUGGUAGAACUGAAUCAGAUCCACCUGAGGGCAUUUGAAAAGUGCUCUCCUGGAGGCUCUCCAAGGCUGUGCGAACUGUCUUGAGUGAGUCCUUCAAUCUGAGGCUGUUUGCAGAUGUUUUAUUGCCAAGCAGGGCCUCACCUGAGCGUCAGCACAGCUCGUGGAACAGAACUUUCUAAGUUAAACCCAAAGAUUUGUCCUAGCUUUUAGCCCCAGCUAAAUAAGGCUGGGCAGCUGCUUUGGAAUUUGCUUUUCUUUGAGCCACAUCUGUCUUCUUAAUUAAACUAAACCUGGCUUAAUUAAACCAGAUGCGAGGCAAAAUUUGAAUCUUUGUUGUGUUGUCAAACACGUUGUGGGAUAUCUCAGUUCAAGGCCGCUCUGUGCUUUCACAUCCCUAGAUUUUCCCUUUGUCUGUUUUAACAGAGGGAUGGUCGGGCUUUUUGUGUGAACAGUCAAUCAGACUUGCACUGCUGGAGCUUCAGUUUGACUCCCUUGGUUUUGGCUUUAAUCCA